This 408-nucleotide ribosomal RNA is filed under the name uncultured Pseudonocardia sp. Its description in RNAcentral is "bacterial SSU rRNA". It matches the Rfam family "Bacterial small subunit ribosomal RNA", at positions 355 to 774 of the family's 1533-position model. Lineage: Bacteria; Bacillati; Actinomycetota; Actinomycetes; Pseudonocardiales; Pseudonocardiaceae. The record is from RNAcentral.
UGGGGAAUAUUGCGCAAUGGGCGGAAGCCUGACGCAGCGACGCCGCGUGGGGGAUGACGGCCUUCGGGUUGUAAACCUCUUUCGCCAGGGACGAAGCGUGAGUGACGGUACCUGGAUAAGAAGCACCGGCCAACUACGUGCCAGCAGCCGCGGUAACACGUAGGGUGCGAGCGUUGUCCGGAAUUAUUGGGCGUAAAGAGCUCGUAGGCGGUCUGUCGCGUCGGUCGUGAAAACUUGGGGCUUAACCCUGAGCUUGCGGUCGAUACGGGCAUGACUGGAGUUCGGCAGGGGAGACUGGAAUUCCUGGUGUAGCGGUGAAAUGCGCAGAUAUCAGGAGGAACACCGGUGGCGAAGGCGGGUCUCUGGGCCGAAACUGACGCUGAGGAGCGAAAGCGUGGGGAGCGAACA